This 2921-nucleotide ribosomal RNA is filed under the name Staphylococcus aureus DAR3519. RNAcentral describes it as "bacterial LSU rRNA". It matches the Rfam family "Bacterial large subunit ribosomal RNA". The record is from RNAcentral. Lineage: Bacteria; Bacillati; Bacillota; Bacilli; Caryophanales; Staphylococcaceae.
UUAAGUUAUUAAGGGCGCACGGUGGAUGCCUUGGCACUAGAAGCCGAUGAAGGACGUUACUAACGACGAUAUGCUUUGGGGAGCUGUAAGUAAGCUUUGAUCCAGAGAUUUCCGAAUGGGGAAACCCAGCAUGAGUUAUGUCAUGUUAUCGAUAUGUGAAUACAUAGCAUAUCAGAAGGCACACCCGGAGAACUGAAACAUCUUAGUACCCGGAGGAAGAGAAAGAAAAUUCGAUUCCCUUAGUAGCGGCGAGCGAAACGGGAAGAGCCCAAACCAACAAGCUUGCUUGUUGGGGUUGUAGGACACUCUAUACGGAGUUACAAAGGACGACAUUAGACGAAUCAUCUGGAAAGAUGAAUCAAAGAAGGUAAUAAUCCUGUAGUCGAAAAUGUUGUCUCUCUUGAGUGGAUCCUGAGUACGACGGAGCACGUGAAAUUCCGUCGGAAUCUGGGAGGACCAUCUCCUAAGGCUAAAUACUCUCUAGUGACCGAUAGUGAACCAGUACCGUGAGGGAAAGGUGAAAAGCACCCCGGAAGGGGAGUGAAAUAGAACCUGAAACCGUGUGCUUACAAGUAGUCAGAGCCCGUUAAUGGGUGAUGGCGUGCCUUUUGUAGAAUGAACCGGCGAGUUACGAUUUGAUGCAAGGUUAAGCAGUAAAUGUGGAGCCGUAGCGAAAGCGAGUCUGAAUAGGGCGUUUAGUAUUUGGUCGUAGACCCGAAACCAGGUGAUCUACCCUUGGUCAGGUUGAAGUUCAGGUAACACUGAAUGGAGGACCGAACCGACUUACGUUGAAAAGUGAGCGGAUGAACUGAGGGUAGCGGAGAAAUUCCAAUCGAACCUGGAGAUAGCUGGUUCUCUCCGAAAUAGCUUUAGGGCUAGCCUCAAGUGAUGAUUAUUGGAGGUAGAGCACUGUUUGGACGAGGGGCCCCUCUCGGGUUACCGAAUUCAGACAAACUCCGAAUGCCAAUUAAUUUAACUUGGGAGUCAGAACAUGGGUGAUAAGGUCCGUGUUCGAAAGGGAAACAGCCCAGACCACCAGCUAAGGUCCCAAAAUAUAUGUUAAGUGGAAAAGGAUGUGGCGUUGCCCAGACAACUAGGAUGUUGGCUUAGAAGCAGCCAUCAUUUAAAGAGUGCGUAAUAGCUCACUAGUCGAGUGACACUGCGCCGAAAAUGUACCGGGGCUAAACAUAUUACCGAAGCUGUGGAUUGUCCUUUGGACAAUGGUAGGAGAGCGUUCUAAGGGCGUUGAAGCAUGAUCGUAAGGACAUGUGGAGCGCUUAGAAGUGAGAAUGCCGGUGUGAGUAGCGAAAGACGGGUGAGAAUCCCGUCCACCGAUUGACUAAGGUUUCCAGAGGAAGGCUCGUCCGCUCUGGGUUAGUCGGGUCCUAAGCUGAGGCCGACAGGCGUAGGCGAUGGAUAACAGGUUGAUAUUCCUGUACCACCUAUAAUCGUUUUAAUCGAUGGGGGGACGCAGUAGGAUAGGCGAAGCGUGCGAUUGGAUUGCACGUCUAAGCAGUAAGGCUGAGUAUUAGGCAAAUCCGGUACUCGUUAAGGCUGAGCUGUGAUGGGGAGAAGACAUUGUGUCUUCGAGUCGUUGAUUUCACACUGCCGAGAAAAGCCUCUAGAUAGAAAAUAGGUGCCCGUACCGCAAACCGACACAGGUAGUCAAGAUGAGAAUUCUAAGGUGAGCGAGCGAACUCUCGUUAAGGAACUCGGCAAAAUGACCCCGUAACUUCGGGAGAAGGGGUGCUCUUUAGGGUUAACGCCCAGAAGAGCCGCAGUGAAUAGGCCCAAGCGACUGUUUAUCAAAAACACAGGUCUCUGCUAAACCGUAAGGUGAUGUAUAGGGGCUGACGCCUGCCCGGUGCUGGAAGGUUAAGAGGAGUGGUUAGCUUCUGCGAAGCUACGAAUCGAAGCCCCAGUAAACGGCGGCCGUAACUAUAACGGUCCUAAGGUAGCGAAAUUCCUUGUCGGGUAAGUUCCGACCCGCACGAAAGGCGUAACGAUUUGGGCACUGUCUCAACGAGAGACUCGGUGAAAUCAUAGUACCUGUGAAGAUGCAGGUUACCCGCGACAGGACGGAAAGACCCCGUGGAGCUUUACUGUAGCCUGAUAUUGAAAUUCGGCACAGCUUGUACAGGAUAGGUAGGAGCCUUUGAAACGUGAGCGCUAGCUUACGUGGAGGCGCUGGUGGGAUACUACCCUAGCUGUGUUGGCUUUCUAACCCGCACCACUUAUCGUGGUGGGAGACAGUGUCAGGCGGGCAGUUUGACUGGGGCGGUCGCCUCCUAAAAGGUAACGGAGGCGCUCAAAGGUUCCCUCAGAAUGGUUGGAGAUCAUUCAUAGAGUGUAAAGGCAUAAGGGAGCUUGACUGCGAGACCUACAAGUCGAGCAGGGUCGAAAGACGGACUUAGUGAUCCGGUGGUUCCGCAUGGAAGGGCCAUCGCUCAACGGAUAAAAGCUACCCCGGGGAUAACAGGCUUAUCUCCCCCAAGAGUUCACAUCGACGGGGAGGUUUGGCACCUCGAUGUCGGCUCAUCGCAUCCUGGGGCUGUAGUCGGUCCCAAGGGUUGGGCUGUUCGCCCAUUAAAGCGGUACGCGAGCUGGGUUCAGAACGUCGUGAGACAGUUCGGUCCCUAUCCGUCGUGGGCGUAGGAAAUUUGAGAGGAGCUGUCCUUAGUACGAGAGGACCGGGAUGGACAUACCUCUGGUGUACCAGUUGUCGUGCCAACGGCAUAGCUGGGUAGCUAUGUGUGGACGGGAUAAGUGCUGAAAGCAUCUAAGCAUGAAGCCCCCCUCAAGAUGAGAUUUCCCAACUUCGGUUAUAAGAUCCCUCAAAGAUGAUGAGGUUAAUAGGUUCGAGGUGGAAGCAUGGUGACAUGUGGAGCUGACGAAUACUAAUCGAUCGAAGACUUAAUCAA